GACGAACGCUGGCGGCGUGCUUAACACAUGCAAGUCGAACGGAAAGGCCUGCUUUCCCUUGUGGAUUGCGGGUACUCGAGUGGCGAACGGGUGAGUAACACGUGAGUGAUCUGCCCCCAACUUGGGUAUAAGCCUGGGAAACUGGGUCUAAUUCCCGAUAGGACUGCAGGGUGUUUCCUGUGGUGGAAAACGAUUUUCUAGUGGUUGGGGAUGAGCUCGCGGCCUAUCGGCUUGUUGGUGGGGUAAUGGCCUACCAAGGCGGCGACGGGUAGCCGGCCUGAGAGGGUGGACGGCCACAUUGGGACUGAGAUACGGCCCAGACUCCUACGGGAGGCAGCAGUGGGGAAUAUUGCACAAUGGGCGGAAGCCUGAUGCAGCGACGCCGCGUGGGGGAUGACGGCCUUCGGGUUGUAAACUCCUUUCGACCGCGAGGAAGCCACCUGGUUGGAAGGGUGGUGACGGUAGUGGUAGAAGAAGCACCGGCUAACUACGUG
This 494-nucleotide ribosomal RNA is filed under the name uncultured bacterium. RNAcentral describes it as "partial 16S ribosomal RNA". It matches the Rfam family "Bacterial small subunit ribosomal RNA", at positions 28 to 507 of the family's 1533-position model. The record is from RNAcentral.